GAUCACAAAAUCACACAUCCAAUACGGAAAAUUCUGAAUAAUAUUAGGCUUGAUAGAGAUCGAAAGACGAAGAAGAGGAGAGUGAUACCUUUGGACUGUGGAGAGACGGCGAGAUUGAGCGGCAUACGCCGGCGAACUAAGACGAGGGCGAGGUGGGCUGCGAAGUACUAAGGAUGAUCUGCGACGAUGCAUUCAUCGCUCGCAAACAUCAGUUGAUCAAGUGGUAUCAUCAAGCGAGCACAUAAUAGAAUCUUGGCAAAAAUUCACAACAUAUGGUCUGCCAAUAGUAGCUGCCCAGCUUCAAAUUCAAGCAUGAAAGGAAAGAAAUCAACAAACAAAUGUUUUCCAGGGCUCUGUGAAUAAGGUAUCAUAGAUGGCAAGCCACAUAAAACACUCAAAUAAUGCAUCUCUGUCAUCUUAGUAUCAAAUACAAAACGAUGUUCUUAUGGUUCUUAUGCAUUCAGCUUAUCUGGAGAAGAAGAUGCAGCGAGGAAAAACAUGCACGUAGAUGAGCAAAAGCUCAAAACAA
This is a long non-coding RNA of Dioscorea cayenensis subsp. rotundata (Guinea yam), 529 nucleotides long. RefSeq lists it as uncharacterized. NCBI's taxonomy places the organism in Eukaryota, Viridiplantae, Streptophyta, Magnoliopsida, Dioscoreales, Dioscoreaceae. The transcript is spliced from 2 exons. The record is from RefSeq and is a predicted model, not a curated record.